GAUGAACGCUGACAGAAUGCUUAACACAUGCAAGUCAACUGUGGCGGACGGGUGAGUAACGCGUAAAGAACUUGCCUCACAGUUAGGGACAACAUUUGGAAACGAAUGCUAAUUCCUGAUACUGUGAGAGAGCUUUGCUUCCCAUUAGCUAGUUGGAGAGGUAACGGCGCACCAAGGCGAUGAUGGGUAGCUGGCCUGAGAGGUUGAUCGGCCAAAAGGGGACUGGGACACGGCCCUUACUCCUACGGGAGGCAGCAGUUGGGAAUAUUGGACAAUGGACCAAAGUCUGAUCCAGCAAUUCUGCGUGCACGAUGAAGUUUUCGGAAUGUAAAGUGCUUUCAGUUGGGAAGCGGUACCAACAGAAGAAGUGACGGCUAAAUACGUGCCAGCAGCCGCGGUAAUAC
This 404-nucleotide ribosomal RNA is filed under the name uncultured bacterium. Its description in RNAcentral is "partial 16S ribosomal RNA". It matches the Rfam family "Bacterial small subunit ribosomal RNA", at positions 28 to 526 of the family's 1533-position model. The record is from RNAcentral.